AUUUGUUGUAGAGAAUCUGGAAUAUGACGACCGUAAAAGUAAAGAAAAGAGGUGAAACAAAAAUAACUCCAACAAACGACUCAGAAACAAAAACGAGUAUUGAGCUCUCUGAUUGCGAUGAAAGCAGUCCAACAUCUUUAAUGACGCCACCAAAAUAUGGACCUGAAAAAUUAGACCGAGACAUGGCGAAACCUUCCAACGAAGACAAAAGGAGGCCAGUAGUUGAACAAAUUUUGGGACGAGCAUCAGACGUAUUUACCUGUAAAUUGUCCUUGUAAGCUUAUUUUUAUGCCCCACCUACGAUAGUAGAGGGGCAUUAUGUUUUCUGGUCUGUGCGUCCGAUCGUCCGUCCGUGCGUCCGUCUGUUCGUCCGUUCGUUCGCCCGUCUGUCCCGCUUCAGGUUAAAGUUUUUGGUCAAGGUAGUUUUUGAUGAAGUUGAAGUCCAAUCAACUUGAAACCUAGUAUACAUGUGCCCUAUGAUAUGAUCUUUCUAAUUUAAAUGCCAAAUUAGAGUUUUGACCCCAAUUUUACAGUUCACUGAACAUAGAAAAUGAUAGUGCAAAUUUCAGGUUAAAGUUUUUGGUCAAGGUAGUUUUUGAUAAAGUAGAAGUCCAAUCAACUUGAAACUUAGUAUACAUGUUCCCUUUGAUAAGAUCAUUCUAAUUUUAAUGCCAAAUUAGAGAAUUUAUUCCAAUUUCACGGUCCACUAAACAUAGAAAAUGAUAGUGCGAGUGGGGCAUCCGUGUACUGUGGACACAUUCUUGUUUAGAAAUGUUAUUUAUUUAGAUAAAAUUUGACUAUAGCUUUAUUCAGUUAUUACAUUUAAGUGUAAGUUUUUCUUAAAAACUAUCAGUAAUAGGUAAGGUUACAAUAUUUCCAAACUUUAUUAACAAGAAACAGUAAGAUAGUGUACACGUGAUAUAUCAGUCUUGUUAGCUAGAUUGUGAUGUGUUAGAUUGGUGUAAAUACCAAUCACACGGCAAAGUAUAUUGUACACAAUGCACAUACAUACCCCCCUAAAUAUGCUAUCAUGAAUGUUGAAACACUGUCUGUUACAGAAUAUACAUAUUUUCUGGCGUGAUAGCUUUUCUCAUAUUUAGUUUGCAACCAAAACAUAUUCAGGAAAUGGCAGGAAGAUUCCUACGGAUUCUGCGAUUUUAAAUAUGUAAAAGUGAUAGUAAUUAUAGGUAAAUAGAAAACAGCGUUUUCAAAUCAUAUGUACAGGACUUAACAUAGACUAGAACUAAAGUUAUAUAAAGGGGAACAUAAAAGGGGAAGGACAUCCCCAUCGAUUUGUUUAAAUCGUCACCUCAAAGUUUUGUAUGCCUGUUACAAUUGAACCAAGAUGUUUUUUUCGUGUUUUACAGACGCCAUAAUGGUUUCGAUGACCGCAAUGGACUAUCUUUGUUAAAUAUUACCACUGAUAAAGGUCCCAUUUCAUUUGGCGUUUGCUGCAAUUUCUCUCUCUCUUUUUGCUCUUUAAAACAGAAUCUCACAAUGCGGUAAACAACAAAUGUUUACUUGAUAGAAUGAAAUUCAAAACAGUGUGGCUGUGGCCAUUGAUUGACACAUUAAAUUCAUCCAUUGACUGGGACAAUUUGGGUGAACGUUUGUAUGUAACGACCACUGCUCACUAUGUACUUUUUAAAGACACUUAAACUAUGGGGUCACCAAAGGUUCUCAACACCUUAAUAAAGUGAUUCGAAAAAUUAAUCCGAAAUAACACGAUGUUUUGAUUUAUAUCAAUUAUAUAAAUCAAAACUUAAAGGUUAUUCCUGAUUAAUUUUUCGAAUUAUUUUAUAAUUAAAGGCGUUAAGAAACCUUUGGUGACCCCACAGUUAAACUGUCUAUCGUAGGUACGUCGUGAACAGUGGUCGUUACAGACAAACGUUCACGUAAAUUGUCCCAGUCAAUUGAUGAAUUUAAUGUGUAAAUCAAUGGCCACAGCCACACUGUUUUGAAUUUCAUUCUAUAUGAAGGGUUUUAGAUUGUUGUUUGUCAUUACGUCGUCUCAUCUUUUAUUUUCCGGACGUGACGUAUUGCCGAUGGUGACUGUUUUGCUGAGUGUGAAUUCGCAUUGCAAUAAGACGUGUAACGAUAAUUUUCUAUCUCAAAUUCAUGUAUUUAGUUUUGAUGUUAUAUUGGUUAUUCUCAUAGGAUUCUGUCAAAUGUCAUAACGUCUUUUCUGUUAUAUUUGUGUAUUAUGGUAAAGAUAAUUAAUCACCCCCUUCAUUUAUGAGAUUUUUAGUUUGGUUCAACGAUUUUUUUACGAUAUAUUUGGUUUACAGUUUAAUUCAGAAGAAACACUGACAUACCUAGAUAAUACAAUUAAUCAUCUAGUUACUAUUAAUAAGUAUUUAUUUUUUAUUGGUAUUAAUAAAUGUAAUAUCAGUAUUACAAAUCUAAUCUUGAAUCAAUCCUAUUUCUAUCUUAUUUUUGGGAAAUAUUUUUAGAAAUUUAAAUGUGACGUCACUUUGUGUUUUUCUUUUUUUUUAAUUUCAAAUUCGACGUCACAUUGUGUGUUGAGGCUUUGGCUUACUCAGCUGUAUUUUUAUGUGCUGGAUUAGGUUGUUUAAUAACUUUUUUAUUCUGUAGUUAGUCACCACUUCGGUUUUAUCAUGUAUAUCUAUUAAAUACUCAUUUUAUAAAAUUUAUUGUUUGCAAAAGUAUAAAAUAUUAUAAAUAAUGAGGAUGUUCUUAUCCCAGGCAGAAAACCAUAGCAGUAUUUCGCACAACUUUUUUGGAAUGUUUGGUCCUCAGCGCUAUUCAACUUUGUACUUGUUUUGGCGUUGGAACUUUUUUCAUCUGAGCGUCACUGGUUGGUCUUGUGUGGACGAAACGCACGUCUGGCAUAUUAAAUUUAAAACCUGGUACCUUUUGUUAGCUAUUAUUCGUGUGUUUCUCUGUCCUAUAUGUUCUCCCAUUAUUUGUAUUGUAGUCCUGUCCUGUAAUGUUGUCAUUUUAAUUUUAUAUUUAACAUUGCCAUAAAAGCGGGAGGUUUUGCAUGCCACAACCCAGGUUCAACCCACCAUUUUUUCCUAAAAAUGUCCUGUACCAAGUCAUGAAAAUGGCCAUUGUUAUAUUAAAGUUAGUUUCUGUGUGUGUUACAUUUUAAUGUUGUAUUUCUGGUGUGUCGUUGUUCUCCUCUUAUAUUUGAUACCAGGGCCGUAACAAGGGUUCAAAUUCAGGUGAGGCAUGGGUUUUUUCUCGCAGUAAAAUGGCUAAAAAUGACCCGUUUUCCUUCGAUUUACUUACUUUAAGAAAUAUCAGUAUUGCUUGAACCUGGAAGCAAUUUUUAUGCAAAACAAACUGAGAUUGCUGUUUGGGGUGAGCCAAGGCUCCGUCUUGAAGGCCGUACUUUGACCUAUAGUUAUUAACAUUAAAUACAUUGUUACCGCGGAUUUUGUUCUCAAUAUGGCUAAAAAUCGCCCGUUUUCCUUCGAUUUCCUUACUUUAAGAAACAUCAGUAUUGCUGGAUCCUUGAAGCAAUUUUUAUACAAACAAUUAUUAUCUGUAUUUAAAGAUACUUUUGUUAGAAAUCAAACUGGUAAGUUAAAACAUAUAAAGCAAGAUCAUAGAAAACAAGAUAUUUUUUUUGUCGAGGACCUUGAAUUUCAAUAUUGUUGAAAGCUGAACAGACAUGUAUAUAACUACAACCAGGGACUUUCUAAACUAGUAUAUACUUAGUUUAGAGAAAGUCUCUGCUUCAACGACUAGGAGUGUUUAACUACUAAGGCAUUUACUAUAAUGUUCUCGUACGAUCGGCCGGGAGACGUUCAAAAAAAUAUCCAACAGCUGAUUCAGCCGGUAACGAAUUUCAGAUAACAAUAAAAGAUUCACAAUACAAAGGGAACAUCCUCUGCUUAAUGGAGCCCCUAAAUAAAUGUGAAAUGUAAAAUUGUCGAAAGCAAAGUUUCAUAUGUGUUCUCGUACAAAUACUGAAUAACAGACGGACGGCCACACGAAAAAAAAUAUACUGAAACUAUAUUCACUUUCGAUAAACAAAAAUCUGGAAAUGACAAAUAUAUGACGUAUCAUGAUAACACUGUUAAAACUGUAAACUUGUGUUGUUUAUAAUAUAAAUUCAAGUUUUUCGUGUACAAAUUGUCAAUAUUUCAUUUUAUUACUAAAAAUAAAAAAAAAAAUUGGUGUAGAAAAUUCAGGGGAUGCAGUUGCCUCCCCUGCUGCCUCAUAGGUAGUUACGGCCCUGGAUACGUUUCCUUCGGUUUAAGUUUGUUACCCUGAUUUGUUUUUUCUCAAUCGUUUCGAACAGCGGUAUACUACUGUUGCCUUUAUUUAUCGUUGUUGAACUCGUUUAAUUGCAAAAUGUAGAUAUAUGUGCACUUAAUUUAAAAAAAAAACCCAAACAAUUGCUUUGAUAUUUUCUUAUCUUAUUCUGUUAAUAUUUGAGUUCUUGUCUAUAUACUUGAAAUGUAUAUCCGGUUUUAUUUUUCUUACAUUAUUAUAAUAAAACAAUUCAAACAAACAUGGAGAGUCCUUUGUAUAACAUCUUGAACAUUUCAAAUCAAAGAAUUGUCGCAAGAAAAGAAUUAUAGAUAGCAAAAUAUAUUUAUAUUAUAGUUUUUUUUUCAAAUUUAAGAAUUGCAAGUGAUAUAUAUUUUAUCAAUCAUAUUUUACAGACCUGCUGUAGUGCUGAUAAUAGCUGUGGGAUACUACAUAAGGAAUGUAGAAAAUCAUUAUGAACACAAAUUUGCAGAGUUGAUGAAAUAUGAAAAUUAUUUGGAAAAAAUAAAGACACUAUCAGAAAAAGUCCCAUCUUUAGAUAAACGAUUGUCUAACCUCCAGGAACGAUUAACACCAACUGAUGAAAGUAUAAAAGAUAUGCAAAGGAAAAUAAAUACAGCAAACGAUAACUUAACAAACGUAGAAAUGAGAAUACGCUCAAUAUCGGGUACCAGUAGUAAACUUGAAGUCGCUUUACCAAUACAGCAGAAAAACUUUACCGACAUUACAGAAAACCUUAAAAAAACGGAUACUGACAUUUCCAACAUAUUAAAAGACAUUGACUCUAUCAACUAUGAAGCCAACGAUAUUAAAAGCAAACUAAAAAUUGCAUUUGAAAAUCAAACAAGUCUUACUGGUUUGCUGAACAAAACAACUGCUAAAGCUGAAUAUGUCAAUACAACUGUCUCUGUAGUCCAUACAGUAAUGACUGAAAUUAAUAAGCAUUUGCCCACUUUAGAAAACAUGAACAAAUCUGUUUCUUUGAUUAUGAGCAGUUAUCACCUUUUACCUCUAAUGCAAAGGGGCAUUGAGGAUAAUAAAGUUCAUGUUCAUGAAUUAGAAGUGGGAGUUAAUAAAACUGAAUCAAGAUUAAAUGAUGUGAAGGAAUCUUCAGAAAGUGUAAGUAAAGCAGUUUCUCUUGCUGGGGAAAAACAGACAAAUAUUGAAAAGGAAGUAAAGCUGUCCAAAGAAGAUCUAGAAAAGCUAAAACAAGACUUGUCAAACACAGGCAAAAACAUAAAGAAUAAUUUGACAAAAUUAGCAGAAGAUUUGAAAAUAUCAGAAGGUAACAUUUUAGAUAAGACAAGUCAAUUGAAUACUGCCAUUUCCACAACAGAAGUUCAAAUAGGAAGCAUGGUUGACCAAGUUACAAAAUACAAUGGGAAACUAGGAGAUUUUAAAAGUGAUGUGGAAUCCGUCAGAGGUGAUGUUAAUGAUAUGAAACCAACUGUCAAUUAUACAGGAACCAAGGUCCAAGAACUUGAUAUAAAAGUUAGAAAUCUGCAGUCACUAAAUACGGGUAUGUUUUUCUGUAAUUAAUUAUCAAAGGUACCAGGCUUUGAAUUUAACACGCCAGACGAGCGUUUCGUCUUCAUAAGACUCAUCACUGACGCUCAGAUCAAAAUUUGAGAAAGCCAAAACAAAAGAACAAAGUUGAAGAGCAUUGAGGACCAAUAUUCCCAAACAGUUGUGCCAAGUAGUACGGUUAAGUUAAGAAUGUAAACCUCUGUAAAGCCAAACAUUUAUAGAUCUGAACUUUUUUUCUUAACCUGAUUUUUAGGUUUAUGUGACUGUAAAUAAAUAAUGGGUGAAGAAAAAUCAUAGUGUGGUGCACUUUUUUUUGCUACAGGCCUUGUGAAUACCAACUUUGAAGAUUUUCCCAUUUUUCAUCAAUUUUACCCUAUUUGGAGCUAUUAUCGUGAAGAAAAAAAUCUCAUUUCUACUAUAAAACUUUUUUUCAAACUUUCCAUAAAGACGAAGUGGACCAAUUUGAAUAAAUUUCACUACAAAAACUAUAGAAAGGUGUUGAUAUAAGAAAGUUUUAUCAUAGUUUGAUGAUUUUUUGUGUCAACUGUUCCAUGCUGUCAAUUUUGUAAAUUUGUGAUUUUUCUUUUUUUUAAGAACAAAAUGCACAUUAUUUCAACUCUUUUGUUAUUAAUGAUUGACAUAAAUCUAUAUCUUAGUAGUUUAGAAAGAAAGAAAAAUGAUAUGGGAUGUAUGCUUCUUGUAAAAUCAUUUCGUGUAUGCCUCACCCAUUUUCUCAAAAAUUUUAAUAAAAAGAUUGACUUAAUUCAUUGGUAAAAAUUAUGAACAAUUUAUUACACAAAAACUGCUUAUUGCAAAUACACCAUUUUUUUUCACAGAGUUAAGUUUGAUUAUAACAUUUCUUAUAUUCAUUGGUAUUUUCCACUUGUAUCACACAUUUGGGGAAUUACUCCAGAACGAGAUUUCAACGAGACUGAAACGUCAGAAGAGUGCAUCCUUAAUCAAUGCCUUUGAUAAGAAUGUCCUUAGUAUUUCGAUACAAUUGAAGCUCACAAAACCUUUAAAUAGACUAAUAAAAGUCAUAUGAAACGAGUGAGUGGUGAAAAAUAAUGUUUAUCCAAUUCUUGAACCAAUGCAAGAAUAUAUCAUAAACUUAGUCUUCUGUACACGAUUUUCUCAUGUCCGUAGUAUUUCGAUACAAUUGUAUCAUUUCAUAGCGUUUUAAAUUUUCUAGUUAAAACAAUAUAUGUCUUUUAAAAUAAGGAAACAUAAAAGAGUAAUAUGAAGGUUGAAUGAAUAGUCACAGUACGAUUUUCAUCUUCAAAAUCUGAUAAUCUACAUAUAUGAUCAAUGAUAAGAUAACAGAGCCAUUUUCUGAAGAAAACAAUGACGGUCUAAAGACAUCAUUCAUUAAUAUAGCUAAACAUGCAGACUUCGUAUACGUUCAGGUAUUUAACAAUCAAUCUUUUAUGGUAAUAUUCUUUAUAAAGCACAAAAUUGUCAGUAUUCACCUCAGAAGCUCACAAAACCUUUAAAUAGACUAAUUAAAAUCAUAUGAAACGAGUGAGUGGUGAAAAAAUAAUGUUUAUCCAAUUCUUGAACCAAUGCAAGAAUAUAUCAUAAAGUUAGUCUUCUGUACACGAUCUUCUCAUUUUUUACGCAAAUAUAUCGUAUAAUCGUCAAUUGUUUUUCUCUCUUUCCGUUAUGAUUUAGCAAAUAUGGCUGCUCAUUAAAUACCGUGUUUUGAAGCCGAAGUUUACCGAUUGUAACCUUAUAGUAAACAAAUAACACUAAGCAUGGGAAUUGAGCACGUGUUUAACAUGUACAAUUAGAUAAUUGUUUAUUUUAAAGACAGAUCCAUGCGUAUUGUGAUCACCGGAUUUUUACGAGAAGGGUUACGCUCGGGUCACUAUGCAUACGGAAAAAUAUGUCGGUGAAUUGCUUCCUGGAAGUAAGCAAUUAAAAUUAAGUAAACUUUUUCGAAAUGUGGACAAAUUAAACAAUUUUCCUCAGAAAAAAGUAUAUGUACAUAAGUUGUAUAAUGAAAACUAUCCAUUUAGUUAUAAAAAACAUAUGCAUAUUUUUUUUUAAUUUGAGAUUUCUUAUGACAUUAAGAAGGGAUAUAGUUACGAUACUGUUGUCAGGUCAUAAAAGAUUGUAUAUUUUGGGUUUAAUAUAUUGAUUCACUUAUAGGGUCUUUGCAUCGGAACUAAACACAUUUAUUUAAAAACCAGUUGUUGGCAUGACACGGGUUAUGUUCUACUCUUAUAUGUUAUGAUGGUAUGAUACUAAACCCCUAACAGGAGGAAUUAUGCCUGAUAUUCAUAUGAUGAAGACAUAAUCUUUCAAUCAGUUUAAUUGAGGUCUGGAGCUGGCAUGUCAGUUGACUGCUAGUAGUCUGUUGUUAUUUAUGUAUUAUUGUCAUUUUGUUUAUUCCGAUGCAAAGACCGUAUUAGUGAAUCAGUAUUAAAGCCAAAAUAUGCAAUAUUUAAUAACCUAACAACAGUAUCGUAACUAUAUCCCUUCUUGAUAAGUCUGUUUAAAGGUUUUGUUAGCUUUUGAGGUGAAAAAUGACAUUUUCAUGCUUUGUUAAGAAUAUUACCAUAACAGAUUGGAUUUGAAAUAGCUAAUCGUAUAAGAUGUACUACUGCAGUCAUCAUAGAUUGAUAGCAAAUCCUUUCGUGCAAUCUUUUUAUUUUGUCUGUAUUAAUUUUGCUUCAGAAAUGCAAGGAUGUAUGAAACAGUUGAAUUUUGACAAAAAAAAGAUCUUUAAUCAUUAUUGUUCCUAGUCUUUAUUUUUAUAAUAAAAAUAUUUCUAUUUUUAUUGAGUUUCAUGAAUAAUCAUAAAAACAAUAUUGUCAGUAAGCACUAGCUAAUUUUACGUUGAAAUGUAACAAUAAUCAAAGAUUUUUUGUUACGUUGGACAUGCAAUGUUGGAAUGAUUUAUAUCAAGUUUAUCGGUUUAACUUAUACAUGCAUAUUUAUAUAUUUCAAAAGUGAGUUAGAAAACGUUCCCUCUCAUUGUAAAAACCAAUUGAAAUUAUUAAUGCAAUUAUUUUGCAAGUACAUGUACUCCUCAUUUGAUUUAUCAUUUUCAAGACAGAUAUAAGAAUAAAAAUAUUUAUUAAAUCCAAUUUAAAAAAAUGAUAUAUCAGAAAAACGUAGAAAAAUGUCAAAUACUUUUAAUUUAACAAACGUUUCUUUGUAGGACUGUUCCAACCCAUCAAUGUAUGUUUAGCUUUGGCAUUUAUAUUGAUUGCUGUGCUUUUUUAUAUGACAUAUUAUCGCUAUGAUAAUAAUGAAACGCAAUUAAGAGAGCAUCAGAGAACAGAAUCGCAUUCGACUCCACCCUUUAUGUCACAGGUAAUAGUGUUACAACAGUAAAACGCCAAAACAAAUAUAACGUUACAGUACCAAAUUGCACCGAGUACCCAAAUUGCACAUAAAAAACUAAAAGCUGAGACGUUCACAAGAAGUCAUCUUUAAAAAAUGAAGCAAUAAGAUAUUUUACAAGCAUCUAUUUCUAAAAAAUUGAAUAUUAAGCCUGUACAAAUUUUAAUAUGUUUUAAACAUUUGAAAAAAAUAAAACAGAACAUCCGUUGUCAGGAAAGGCCGCACGGUAUCCUAUAUCUAUUUAUUUAUGUGUCAUUUGGUCUCUUGUGGAUAGUUGUCUAAUUGACAAUUAUACCACAUCUUCUUUUUGAUAUUGUUGAACCUGAAAUUAAGCAAAGGAACAGAAAUUUCAUUUGAACGCUUUUUGUUUUAUUGAUUGAUAAAUAAAGCACAAUUUCCGAGACAAAAAUGCCUAUCUACACACCUCCAAUGGAUUUAGGGAAAGAAGAUUCCAGCACCUAUUAACACUCUAACCUUGGCGCAAUGUCAUAUUUUGAUAUCGACAAGAUAUAGCACUUAGUGUUACUACUAGGUAAAAUACUGGAUAGAUAUGUUUGAAACUACUAAUGCUUUGAAAAUUAAAUAAUGUAAGUACGAUUAAAGACAAGAUUUAUUGAUCCUACCAAAACGCUACAGAAGGAGAAACAAAAUGAAAAAUAAGAAAGCGUAAAACGGAAUUGUGUCUAAUCUGGCAUGUAUACCUACUUAACAGUUAUAAAAUGUUACCUGUUUGAAUGGAGUUUUCUCGUUACCUUUUCAGAGGGCUCCUAGUAUACUGGAUAGGAUUCAAAGAGUUCCGGUCUUUGAUAACAAAGUAUGUAUAUUAAGCUUUUACUCUGAAACUAUGAAUUUGCACAAACAAUUGGUAGAAUCGGCUCUAGCAUCAAGCAGAAGAGGAAAAAACAUAGAAGUUAUCCAGCAUCUGGUCAGAAGACAUGAAGAUAUCCUCAGUAUUCCACCUGCAAGAUAUAUUUUUGUAUUUGUCGACUUCAAUGAGCGCAAUGUGAUCUUAGAGAAUCCUGGACAGGACUUAGGCGAUAAGAAACUAGUGACUGUACAAGCUGCUCAGAAAAUUGGUGGUAAGUCCUUUACAUAAAACAAUUGUAAAUGAAGGCUAUAUUAGUUUAACGAUAGUUAUAAAUCAAUUCAACUGAAACGAAUGUGGGUAAAAAGCAAAACCGAGGGUACCAUAUAUGGUGAGAUGUAUAGAUAUAUAGAUCGAUAUUGAUUGCAGGUACAUGUACAUUUGUACAAGGAUAGAUAAUAUUUAUAAAGGUUGAUGUUAAUAAUUUAUAGUGGGAGUUUUUGCUUUUCCCCGACAAAUGAGACUGUAAAAAUUGGGGCCCCCUUAGUUGCUUCCCUGGGCAACUGAGGGUUGAUGUAAAAGGUGAUUGUUAAUAAAAUAUGUUUAAUAUUAAAAAAAAAAAAAAAAAAAAAAAAAAAAAAAAAAAACCGAGGGUACCACAUCAACUAUAAGAGGAAAGCAACGGAACAAAAGAAACACUGAACUGCUAGAAAUUCAAACGCCAAUAUAUAUUGCGUGACAGGAAUACAGUGCAAAUAAAUGCAUAAACACACCGGACAGAGAAAUGCACAAAUACACGACAUUAAGGAUGUUUGCUCCUCCAUUUUUUGAUUUUUUGCCAGAUUUUCGGAAUCCUUUGGUUUUAUCCAUGUAUGUCAUUAAAAAAAUUUGCUCACUAACCCCUUCUUUUCUUUUCAUAAUUUUAUUACAUAAAGUUUAAAAAGCCAUAUUUCAAAAUUUUAUAACAUUCUUGUUAUUUUUUCAUAGUUUUUGAAACGAAUAAGGUGCCAAUGUUAAAUAUAUGAAUAAUUUAGAGAGAAUUAUUUCCCGCCAAAUUUUCAAUGACUUAUAUGUCGGAAACGAAAACACAGACCCUUCUUUUUUUUAAAACUUUUUUAGUUACUUUGUUUAUAUACUAUCAAUUUAUUAUAGUCUUUUAAAAAGCUUGUUAUUUUUUAAUAGAGUAGCGAACAUCCUUAAGUACAUUUCAAAAUGCAAACCACAAAAUAUCUGCGAACACCUUAAAUAAAUUUAUGGCAGUUCACAUGUACAGCACAAUAGAAUUAUGAAUUGGGCAUCACACGAAUGUGUCAACGCCACAAAAAGAGACAGCACAUGUAACUUUUGAGAAAUUUAAUAUAAGAUUGGACUAAAGGAUGUAUUCUUCUGACGUUUCAGUCUCGUUGGAAUCUCGUUCUGGAAUCAUUUCCAAAAUAUGGGAUACAAGUGAAAAAUAUCAAUGAAUUUAAAAAAUGCUAUAAUCAAACUUAACUCUGUGAAAAGGUAUUUCCAAUGAGUAGUUUUUGAGUAAUCAAUUUUUCAAAUUUUAUUACCCAUCAAGUCAGUUUUUUUAGCCAAAAUUUUGAGAAAAUGGGCGAGGAUUACAAAAAAUGAUUUUAACAAAGACAUGCAUAUCCCACAUCCCUUUUUUUCUUUUCUUAGAUAUGUAUUUUUUUGAAUUAUUUAUAUGCAUUUUGUACUUAAAACAGAGAAUAAUCACAAAUUUACAAAAUUGACAACAUGGUAAAUUUGACACAAAAAAGCGUCAAAAUAUGAUAAAACGUUCUUAUAGUAACACCUACCUAUAGUUUUUGUCGAGCCUGCAACUUUUGUUGCAGAAAGAUCGACAUAGGAAUAGUGAUCCGGCGGCGGUGGCGUUAGCACCUUCUUAAAAGCUUUACAUUUAGAAGGUGGAAGACCUGGAUGCUUCAUACUUUGUAUAUAGACGCCUCAUGUAACGAACUUUCCGUCAGUCACAUAUCUAAUGUCUUUGACCUCAUUUUCAUGGUUCAGUGACUACUUGAAAAAAAAGUUCAAAUUUUUUGUAAUGUUAAAUUCUCUCUUAUCAUAAGUAAUAGCAUAACUAUAUUUGGUAUGUGCGUACCUUGCAAGGUCCUCAUGCCGUCAGACAGUUUUCACUUGACCUCGACCUCAUUUCAUGGAUCAGUGAACAAGGUUAAGUUUUGGUGGUCAAGUCAAUAUCUCAGAUACUAUAAGCAAUAGGUCUAGUACAUUUGGUGUAUAGUAGGACUUUAAGGUGUACAUGUCCAACUGACAGGUGUCAUCUGACCUUGACCUCAUUUUCAUGGUUCAGUGGUUAUAGUUAAGUUUUUGUGUUUUGGUCUGUUUUUCUAAUACCAUAUGCAAUAGGUCUACUAUAUUUGGUGUAUGGAAUGAUUGUAAGGUGUACAUGUCUAGCUGACAUGUGUCGUCUCACCUUGACCUCAUUUUCAUGAUUCAGUGGUUGAGAGUUUUAGUCUAUUUUUCUAUUAUAAUAUUUAUAUAAUAUUUUUAUUAUAAUACUAUAUGCAAUAGGUCAACUAUAUUUGGUGUAGGGAAAUAUUUUAUGACCUAUAUGUCAUUCGAUAGGUUUAACAACCUCUUUUUCAUGGUUUCAUUGCUAAGUGUUUGUGUUUUUGGUCUUUUUUCUUAAUUUAUAAGCAAUAGGUCAACUAUAUUUGUUGUAUUGAAGAAUUGUUAGCUGUACAUGUCUGCCUGGCAUGGUUCGUCUGACUGACUCAUUUUCAUGUUUGAUCAAUGUUAGUUUUCUUGUUAAUGUUGAGUUUAUGUGACAGUUGUAAUAGAGCUUUAUAUUUAGGACUAUCAACAUGAUAAUAUCAAUGAUUAGUAAAGAAGGCGAGACAUUUCAGCGUGUGCACUCUUGUUUUAAUUCAAAUUUAUUCAGACUUGUCCACUUCAUCUUAAUUGAAAGUAUGACAAAUAGUUAAAUUGUGGAACUGUGAUUUUUUUUCACGAUAAUAGCCGAAAAUAGGUAGUUAUUGGUGAAAUUAGGAAAAUCAUCAAAAUUUGAUAACUCAUUGAAAUAAAACUUUAAUACAUAAGGUUUUACAUACGCCUUUUUAUGCAAAUGUAUUCAAUUUGUUUGUAAGAAAAUGCAUGUACCAAGUCAGGAACACGACAGUUGUUAUCUAUUCGUUUGAUGUGUUUGAGCUUUUGAUUGUGCCAUUUGAUUAGAGACUUUUCGUUUUCAAUAUUCCUCGGAGUUCAGUAUUUUUUGUAAUUUUACUUUUUACAGUGCUUCAUUUUUUGCAUCUACUGAGAACAAUUUAGGUACUUAAUAAAAAUGAAUAAAAGAGCUGCUUUGAUGAACAAACACAAUACAAGUUUCAAAAUAAUCUCUCAGCUUUAUUAUAAAUUUGCCCUUUGCGUUAUAAUGACCGGAUCUAUUUUCGUUUGAACUUACCGUGUAUAUCGCAAAUAUUCAAAAUUGAUUUUGUUUUUGUACAUUUUAUUCCGAUUUUUAAUGCCAGAAUAAACAUACAUUUAGUAUACAAAACAUACAUUACAUGUAUCCUUCAGUUUGAUUGGCUGACCAUUUUAUUUCUAUAUAAAGUACAACAGCUGUGACUAAACGUGUUCUCCGGGAAAAUGUUAAAAUAUUUCUCUGAAAAACAAACGAAAAAACAAAAAAACAAAAAAAAAUUGGCAAAAUCAAAAGCUCGAAUGGAAUACAACUGCCAUAUUCUGACUUCAUUCAGGACUUUUCUUGCUGCACCUUUUAAUUUUAAUUUUAAUUUUAUGGUUAGAGCAAAGAAAUGUCAUUAAAAGAAUUAAAAUCUUCUUUUUAUGUUUUUUUGUAAGGUGGCGAUUUAGUGCAUAUGUUUUUUUUGUUUUUUUUUUUUAUAUGAAACGCUUCAGCCUUCAUACAAAAUGUGCUUUGUCAACACCUUUGCAUCCCAUUUAGGUUUAAUAGAAGAAGUAUCAAAUUCUUUAUUAAACUGACAAGUUUGGUAUUUUUAUUAUUUUACUUCUUCAUGAUGAUAUUACCAACUGUUUAAAACUAAUUUUGGAAAUGUUUCCUUUAAUGUGGUACAUAAGUUUGAUUUUCAAGUUUUUGAAAUGACGACAUAAUAGCUUAUUUAAUGCAGCAAUCUCAUUUCUUUCUGAAUUAGACUGUUGUGCUAUCAUUAUGAUCAAAUUUAAAAAGAAAAAUAGAAAAUACAAUACUAGACAUGAAAAUAGAAUUAUUUAUGAGCGAGACUAAUUAACCUUAGUUCUAAAUAUAUCACGCAUCCUCUGUGCAACACGAAAUUGAUGAUGUGAGGACAUUUUAAAAUUUUUUUUGUAUGUCUAAGACAUGCAUGUGUCCUGCAUGACACCUAGGUAUUUUGAUUAGAAAGAUUUUGUUAUUUCAUUUUUUUAACAGUAAGUGAUAACAGUAAGUGAUAUGCAACAAAACUUAUCUAAUAUCUAUAUUACAGCUGAUGUAUUUGUGACAUAUGUGAGAGACAGAGGAUCAAACCAAUUAGUUCCUGGUAACUUGUAUAACCAAGAAUUGUCAGCUUUCACAAGUCAUCAUGUCUUAAGGACAUUGGAAAACAACAAGAGAUGUUUCAGUGUAUAUGAAACAUUUAACAACACACAAAAAGACUCUAUUGUCCGUUCAAUUAAAUAAGACUAUUAACAUGUUUUAAAGAGAUUGUAAAACCAUCAGAGAUGUUUUAGUGUAUAUGAAACAUUUAACAACACACAAAAAGAAUCUAUUGUCCGGACAAUAUCAUGAGACUUUAUACUUUAUAAAAUUAUCAUUGACAUGUGUUGACACUUCAUUUUCUAAUCCUUAAUAUUUUAGGCACCUGGGUGUUUUUGUGUACUUUUAUUUAAUUUUUAACGGCGAGGGAUCAUCAGAUAACAAACUCUUAACAUGAAUUUUAGUUGUGUUUUUCUUACGUUAUGUUUUAUUUUGAUGUAGUGAGUUUUAAUUUCAGUUGUUGCGUGAAUACUAAUAAUGUACUAAUUUGCUUUGUUAAAAUGAUACUAUAAUAUAAAUGAUACCGAUGUCAGUUCAUAGGACAAUUGUUUCCUGAUAAACUUCCGUAAGAUUUGUGUGUGAAUCAAAGCUUGAACAAUGAAGUAACUUAAAAGUUUUUAAGCAUUAUCAAUUGAAAGAACACGAAAAGGAUCUUUACUUCAUAAUGUGACCAAAGCCCAGGCUUAGUGGAGAAGCGGUUGUAGUUGAGUAUUGAUUUUUAAAUGAAAACUAAUGAGUUCUUGUAUGUAUAUUACUAAAUGUAAUGCAGUUUCUACGUAUGCUUGCGUUCUGUGUUCAUUGAUUUUGACUUUCAUAUUGAAAGAUUCAAAUAUGUUUAUUUCAAAGUUUGAAAUCCAUGCAUCGAUAAGACUAUGAAAAUCAGCAUGGAUAUUCGUUAAAAUUGAGAAUUGAAAUAGGGAAUAUGUCAACUGGACAACAACCCAACCAAAGAGCAG
This 15376-nucleotide long non-coding RNA is filed under the name Mytilus galloprovincialis (Mediterranean mussel). Lineage: Eukaryota; Metazoa; Mollusca; Bivalvia; Mytilida; Mytilidae. The record is from RNAcentral.